UGCUAAUACCGAAUGUUGUAUCGUUUCCGCAUGGAGAUGAUAUUAAAGAUGGCCUCUACUUGUAAGCUAUCGCUUUGCGAUGGGUCUGCGUCUGAUUAGCUAGUUGGUGGGGUAGCGGCCUACCAAGGCGACGAUCAGUAGCCGGUCUGAGAGGAUGAACGGCCACAUUGGAACUGAGACACGGUCCAGACUCUACGGGAGGCAGCAGUGGGGAAUCUUCCGCAAUGGGCGAAAGCCUGACGGAGCAACGCCGCGUGAGUGAAGAAGGGUUUCGGCUCGUAAAGCUCUGUUGACGGGGACGAAUGUGCGAAAUGCGAACAGUUUUUCGCAAUGACGGUACCCGUCGAGGAAGCCACGGCUAACUACGUGCCAGCAGCCGCGGUAAUACGUAGGUGGCGAGCGUUGUCCGGAAUUAUUGGGCGUAAAGGGAGCGCAGGCGGGAAGGCAAGUCAGUCUUAAACGUGCGGGGCUCAACCCCGUGAUGGGAUUGAAACUGUCUUUCUUGAGUGCAGGA
This 514-nucleotide ribosomal RNA is filed under the name uncultured rumen bacterium. Its description in RNAcentral is "bacterial SSU rRNA". It matches the Rfam family "Bacterial small subunit ribosomal RNA", at positions 161 to 653 of the family's 1533-position model. The record is from RNAcentral.